UUUUUUCUUUCCCAUGCAACAGAGUCAUAUGGUCAUCCAAUUCCUAUCUGUCAAUCACUAUUGUAAGGGAACCAUUUAUUUAAGGACAGUUGAUUGAACCCCUGUUAUGUGUUAAGCACCCGAACAACCCAAAACACACAUAGAAGGAACACGACGUCCCUCAAGGGGCUCACAAAAUCCCAAGUGAUGGUAGCCAAACACAGGCACAGGGUACAACAAGGACGAUGGUGACUGAUCCAGCGUAGGCUGGGGCUGCAGUGGUAAAGGUGGAGAAAGGCUGGAGAAGUUAGGGACUGUUUUCUGCUGAAGGAGACAACUUACUAAGUUUUAAAGAGCCACUAGCUCAUGUCAGAGAAGGAUCUGAAGCCAUAUGAUUUGGAAAGAACAUGAGUGCAUUCGGUUUUGGGUAUGUGGAGUUUGGGGUGCUGGUGACAUACCCGGGUGGAGAUGAUUCAAAUGUUUUGUUAUGUGUAGGGGUCCAGAAUUCAGGAGAGAGAGAAUCUGGGCUGGAGAUGUAGAGUUAGGGGUAUAUAGUUGGUGUGGUAGGGAUGCUGCCUUCUUGGUGAUAAAAGCCUUAACCAAGAGGUAGAAAUAAUUUUCUCUUCCUGUGAGCAAUUCUAACAGCUUGCCUUUACUGCUCUAAAGAUAUUAUGGCACUUUGCAUUUCAAUUUGUAUGUAGUUGGUAUCUCUCUCCAUUGAACUGUAAACAACAGAGACUUUGGCCAUGAUGGAGUAAGCAUUUAUUAUUCCACCCUAAAUAACUAAAAAUAGACCAACUAUAUACAACAAUUUUCAGACAUUGGACCGCAGGUGUCACAGAAGUGUAAUCUCUGACAGAGGAGAAGCAAAUGAGGUGAGACCCACAAGUGCCCCAGCUGACAACCUGGAGAGAGUUUCCACGCCACCAUACAGACCCUGUAGGGGACCCACUGUCUCCAGGCCUCCGUUUGCUCAUCUGUAAAGCGAGGGGUGGGCCAGUCACCCCGGCAUGAGCUUUGACAUUUUAGGAUCCCAGCCUUCCCGCUGUGGUUGCAGAAGUGGCUCUUAGGAUCCCAGCCUUCCCGCUGUGGCUGCAGAAGUGGCUCCUCUCCAGAACAGCAUUUAUGGCGUCUGGACUCCCGCCCCAGCUCCCUAACGGGGCAGGGAGCUCGCCUGCUCCUGAAGCAUCCGCCUCCCAGCCUCGCGCAGGUGAGGCUCAUCAAUAACGAUGGGCGAGGAUGUCAGGCUGCGUCUGAAGCCACCAGGGGCCCAGCAGGCUGCCGCGUGCUUUGUCAUAAACUAUGUUGUCACCUGGGGAAGAAUCAUCACCGAUAACAUAUUUCAGGAGACAAAAACAAGAGGUGCAUUGAUUUUUUCCACGAGGUCAGACAACUUCUGGGAAGGCUCCUGGAACUCAAGUUGUCACGGCAUCUCUCCCUGAAUAUCCGUUUGACCCGGGGUGUUAGUGGCCUCUGACCCAGGUGGGCUCUUUUUCCUGAUCACGGGCUGUUCUUUUCAGAGGCCAGCACCAUCACUGGCCUUUCUCAGACCCUGAGGAUCGAGGCUGACUUGGAUCCAGGGAAGAUUUGCUCUCUGGCUUCCCCUGAUCUGGCUCCGAGAAAGGUCUGCACAGGUGGCUCCGGGAGGGGCUCUGCUGACAGCCAAAUCUGCCAUUUGUUAAGCUUAUGACACACACCAGAGUGACCUGUCUAUUUCCCUGGCCACCACCCAGCCCAAAACUGAAGACAGAAUGUUCAAAAAUACAGUAUAUUAAUAGAAAAUCUGAGGCAUAGUGAGGCCAACAGAUCAGGAGACAACUGCCAUUAAAAAGGUAGUUUGCGGCCGUGAGCGGUGGCUCACGCCUGUAAUCCCAGCACUUUGGGAGGCCGAGGUGGGCAGAUCACAUGAGGUCAGGAGUUUUAGACUCGCCUGGCCAGCAUGGUGGAACCACCCUAUCUCUACUAAAAAUAUAAAAAUUAGCUGGGUGUGGUGGCGGGAGCCUGUAAUCCAAGCUACUCAGGAGGCUGAGGCAGGAGAAUCACUGGAACCUGGAAGGUGGAGGCUGCAGUGAGCUGAGAUCGCACCACUGCACUCCAGCCUGGGCAACAGAGUGAGACCCCAUCUCAAAAAAAAAAAAAAAAAAGGUAGUUUGUUACUCACAGUUCCCAAGAGGAGGGGAGCACCACGCCAUGCCGCGCCACGCCAUGCCACGCCAUGCCACGCCAUGCCAUGCCAUGCCACGCCAUGUGGGGGCCACACCCGGAGAGCCCCAGAGGGAGCAAGGGGCAGAACGCAGGCAAGCAGUUCCCAUGGGAAGGAACAGGCGAGGCAGGGUACACAGGUUUAGGACUAGCUAGUUUGAAUAAUUUCAGCAGGCUCUGGGACAUAGGAGCUGUCUGUAGUUGUCUGGUACCUGGCCCUGGGGGAUACAGGCAGGUGGAUAGGGGCCCAGAGUGUGGUUGGGAGGUGUGGGCUCUAGAGUGGGUGAUUUGUAUUUGAAAAGCACACUCCCAGGCCAUUGUCUGCUGUCUCUAGGAACUAUCUAAUCCUGGGAGGGACUCUCUCCAGUGUCAGCAAAGCCCCUGAUGUCAAAGUAUCACAAUACAGAGAAUAAAAGACGCGGCCCGUACGCAGAGCUGAAGUGGCUCUCUGUUAUUUGCAGAUGGAAAUUGGAAUCUCUACAGCAUGACAGACACUUGAGCAGAAAUUCUAAGCUUUUAUGGGUUGCCACAGGUCCCUUUCAGGAGGAUGGCGAAGGCUAUAGUCAUGAGCCGUCUAAGGUGGAGGUCACGAGCGGCAGGUGGCUCUUAAUAAGCACUUGACAUACCACUUCUCCCAACUGAGAUGUGCUGUACGCGUCAAAUCCGAACUGGAUUUUGAGGAUUCAGAAUGAAUAAAAGAUUGAAAAAAUCUCAUUCAUGAUUUGUAUAUUAAUUACAUGUUGAAAUGAUAAUAUGUUGGAUAUAUUGGGCUAAAUAAAAUAUAUUAUCAAAUUUAAGUUUGCUUGUUUCUUUUUAUUGUGUCUGCUAGAAAAAUGUCCUCAGUUAAAAUCACCUCAGUGGCUCACAUUCUCUCUCUAUUGGACAACAGGGCUCUUGACCUCCCUAGGGGAAUGGACCCAGGCACACAUGAUGCAGGUAAAAUAUGGUAUUGAGGGGUGUGAUUCCAGGAUCUGAGGGUACACCGACCCCAAGUUGAUUUCACUCUCUCUUUCCAGAAUUAUAGGGUGAAAAGAACCCUAGAGAAGGAUCCCUGGCCCCAGACACAUAACUAUCAGUGAGAACCCACAGCAUUGAAAAGCAAAUCUUUCCCAAAGCUUCAUGUUUUGAGCCAGCCUGCUGUAAAACUUUGUUAAAAAAAAUCAGUAGACAAUAAAGAAGAAAAUCAAACUUUUUAGCCUUGAUUAAGUGGUU
Molecule: long non-coding RNA, 3393 nt
Filed under: Homo sapiens (human)
Lineage: Eukaryota; Metazoa; Chordata; Mammalia; Primates; Hominidae
Description: HSALNT0245687
Source: RNAcentral